UACAUAGGUCUCAAGCGUUGUUCGGAUUCAUUGGGCGUAAAGGGUGUGUAGGUGGCGCCGUAAGUCGGGUGUGAAAUUUCGGAGCUUAACUCCGAAACUGCAUUCGAUACUGCGGUGCUUGAGGACUGGAGAGGAGACUGGAAUUCAUGGUGUAGCAGUGAAAUGCGUAGAGAUCAUGAGGAAGACCAGUGGCGAAGGCGGGUCUCUGGACAGUUCCUGACGCUGAAGCACGAAGGCCAGGGGAGCAAACGGG
This 253-nucleotide ribosomal RNA is filed under the name uncultured bacterium. RNAcentral's name for it is "partial 16S ribosomal RNA". It matches the Rfam family "Bacterial small subunit ribosomal RNA", at positions 524 to 776 of the family's 1533-position model. The record is from RNAcentral.